Molecule: long non-coding RNA, 578 nt
Organism: Homo sapiens (human)
Lineage: Eukaryota; Metazoa; Chordata; Mammalia; Primates; Hominidae
Gene: SLC6A10P
Product: solute carrier family 6 member 10, pseudogene
Source: Ensembl
ACGCGGGGUCGGGGCCGCCCCUGGUCCACCGCUGCUGCUCGGUGGCUGGGCCGUCCGCCUCCACCCCUCUCGCAGUCAUGUGCCUGGCAGGGUGAGGGGCGGGGGCCGGCGAUGCCCGCGAGGCUGCCCCCCAGACUCCUGGGCUGGAAGGAGCGAUUGGCCGCCGAGGUGGGAAAGCAGGCCUGCGCCUUGGGGUCUCCUCGAGGUGUGUUCCUUAUUCCCUGCAUCCUGAUAGCCCUGGUCGGAGGAAUCCCCAUUUUCUUCUUGGAGAUCUCGCUGGGCCAGUUCAUGAAGGCCGGCAGCAUCAAUGUCUGGAACAUCUGUCCCUUGUUCAAAGCUGCUGAGGACUGGAGCUACUGGGUGGCCAGGUGGAGGCUUGGACCUCCUGGAACCGCCAUGGUGGCAGUGGGACCCACAGAAGGGGCCAGGCCUGGGCUAUGCCUCCAUGGUGAUCGUCUUCUACUGCAACACCUACUACAUCAUGGUGCUGGCCUGGGGCUUCUAUUACCUGGUCAAGUCCUUUAGCACCACGCUGCCCUGGGCCACAUGUGGCCACACCUGGAACACUCCCGACUGUG